This is a long non-coding RNA of Castor canadensis (American beaver), 1682 nucleotides long. The record is from Ensembl. Lineage: Eukaryota; Metazoa; Chordata; Mammalia; Rodentia; Castoridae.
CCCACCUGGGGAGUUCCCGCCUCCUCUGUUUAAUCGCCGGUCCUCCCACGACGGGGAUCCCCGCCCCUCCUCGAUGGGGGGUCUCCUCCAGCCCCGCCCCCCGCCCCUCAGAGUGCGGGCGCCAUCCUGAAGCCUUUGUUGUAUGUAGGCCGCGUCCUCCUGUUGGCGGAGAACCCUGAGGACGCAGCUGCCGGAGGAAAGGCAUCCGGAUCUUGGGGACCUCUGGCCCCGUUCGGCAGCCUGCGCUGUCCGGGGGCCCCGGGACCAAAGCCGGCCCGUGUCGCUCUUCGAUGUGGAGGACUACAGGGCACCACUCUUGAAAGCCAGGCAUGGGUGCUUCUACCUCAUUGUGACCGACGUCCAGCUCUGACUCCAGCCCACCCUGUCCUGGAUUCCCUGACAUCAGAACAGAAAUGGCUGGGCAACAAUCAGAGGGCCCUUGAGUCAGACCAGCUCCUGGUACCCUUAUCGCAAUUGCACUUAGAAAAGGGCCUGAGGUCCAGGGGAGAAUGUGGAAAUGAAAGCUGCUCUGUUCCCAGGAGACAGGUGCAGGCUUUGGAAUGGGCCUCAAAGACACUACAUCAUUCUCCCAAAUUCUCUUCACCUAACCAGGGCCCUCAGAUUCUCUGGACAGUGUUUAACGUUAGCAAACUUAUCUCUUCAGUUAUUUGGUUCUAGUGUUCUCAUUGGGUAUUCUGUCUGUAGAUCAAAUGUGAAUUUAAAGCGUUUCAUUACAAAUCAACAAAUACAGCCUUCCAAUGUACAAGGCAGAGUAUGAAGGGUGCACCAUAUGAAUCAGGAUCCAUGCCCCAUAAGCAGCUUCGGGCUAAAAAAAUACAUACAAAUAUAUAAUUGUAUUUAAAGGCAGCUUAAAUGGGAGAAAGUGUACUUGCAACUGGAAAAAUUAAGAUUUCAAAGUUAACAUAGAAUUUGAAAGGUGUCUUAAGGAAUAAGAACACAGAUAGAGGUAGAUGUACAAUUGAAAAAUCUAAUUUCAAGCCUGAAAAAGGCUUGAGAGUUGGGAAAAUUGGAGGCAUAUUCAGGUAUGCCAAUAAUUCCAGUUUGGCCUGAGAAUUGGGUAAAUGAACAGGUGGAGUCUAGGGUUAGGGAGACAAUGUGCAGUAGUGGAGAGAACAAAGAUACAGAGAUAAGACUUUGACUUGAAUUCCAGCUUUGCUAGAUGUUUGCUGUAUAAUCAUAGAUUAUUUAAUCUCUCUGGCUCUCAAUGUCCUCACUUGUAGGACAAGCAUAAUAAUAUCCAUUCAACUGUUCUGGAAAACCAACUGUGAACUAAAGACCAUGUUAGGUGAUGAGUAUAUAAGGAAUCAUUCAGUCAUUCCCCCAGUGAAUGAAACUGCCCUACUAUUUACUAAGUGAAACCUGAAGUUAGGCACUGGCAAUACAGUGAAGGGGGGAAAAAACACAAAGCUUUAUGAGACUACCUAGAAUAUGUGAGGAAAAGAUCUAAGUACAAAGGCAUACAAUUUGCGGCAGGUGGAGAGGGAAAACAAUGUCAAGCAUUGGAAGCCUUCAGGACUGUUUCAAAAGUGACACCAGCCAGCCAUGUCAACGGAGAAGCUGAGCAAGAGGGGGACAGAGAUGCCCAUUGUGUGUAGCAUCUUGGGGCAAUGUCUAUCUUGACUGCUUAAGCUGUUCCAAUAAAGUAGUGUUUUCCAAAACCA